UGGGGAAUUUUGGACAAUGGGCGCAAGCCUGAUCCAGCCAUGCCGCGUGCGGGAAGAAGGCCUUCGGGUUGUAAACCGCUUUUGUCAGGGAAGAAAUCUUCUGAGUUAAUACCUCGGGAGGAUGACGGUACCUGAAGAAUAAGCACCGGCUAACUACGUGCCAGCAGCCGCGGUAAUACGUAGGGUGCAAGCGUUAAUCGGAAUUACUGGGCGUAAAGCGUGCGCAGGCGGUUUUGUAAGACAGAGGUGAAAUCCCCGGGCUCAACCUGGGAACUGCCUUUGUGACUGCAAGGCUUGAGUGCGGCAGAGGGGAUGGAAUUCCGCGUGUAGCAGUGAAAUGCGUAGAUAUGCGGAGGAACACCGAUGGCGAAGGCAAUCCCCUGGGCCUGCACUGACGCUCAUGCACGAAAGCGUGGGGAGCAAAACAGGAUUAGAUACCCUGGUAGUCCACGCCCUAAAACGAUGUCAACUGGUUGUU
Molecule: ribosomal RNA, 478 nt
Filed under: uncultured bacterium
Lineage: Bacteria
Description: partial 16S ribosomal RNA
Rfam family: Bacterial small subunit ribosomal RNA
Source: RNAcentral